Molecule: ribosomal RNA, 547 nt
Filed under: uncultured bacterium
Lineage: Bacteria
Description: bacterial SSU rRNA
Rfam family: Bacterial small subunit ribosomal RNA
Source: RNAcentral
UGGGGAAUAUUGCGCAAUGGGGGGAACCCUGACGCAGCCAUGCCGCGUGAAUGAAGAAGGCCUUCGGGUUGUAAAGUUCUUUCGGUAUUGAGGAAGGUUGAUGUGUUAAUAGCACAUCAAAUUGACGUUAAAUACAGAAGAAGCACCGGCUAACUCCGUGCCAGCAGCCGCGGUAAUACGGAGGGUGCGAGCGUUAAUCGGAAUAACUGGGCGUAAAGGGCACGCAGGCGGUUAUUUAAGUGAGGUGUGAAAGCCCCGGGCUUAACCUGAGAAUUGCAUUUCAGACUGGGUAACUAGAGUACUUUAGGGAGGGGUAGAAUUCCACGUGUAGCGGUGAAAUGCGUAGAGAUGUGGAGGAAUACCGAAGGCGAAGGCAGCCCCUUGGGAAUGUACUGACGCUCAUGUGCGAAAGCGUGGGGAGCAAACAGGAUUAGAUACCCUGGUAGUCCACGCUGUAAACGCUGUCGAUUUGGGGGUUGGGGUUUAACUCUGGCGCCCGUAGCUAACGUGAUAAAUCGACCGCCUGGGGAGUACGGCCGCAAGGUUA